Molecule: long non-coding RNA, 379 nt
Filed under: Pan troglodytes (chimpanzee)
Lineage: Eukaryota; Metazoa; Chordata; Mammalia; Primates; Hominidae
Description: lincRNA
Source: RNAcentral
UCUAACCUGAGAACCUAUUACCACCACCCAGUGUCCUCAGAAGUCAUGAUAGUCAUCAUGAUGCAGCUAGAGUUAUAAGGACCAGAGUUUGACUCCCAGCCUUUGAAAACGAUGUUCCUUGGGGGUAGGAGCAUGCUCUCACCCUUGUCUUCUAUCUCUCUCAUCCUUUAAGACUCAGUUCAGAACUUGACUCUUCAGGCGGAGGCUUCUCUGAGUCCUGAAGCUGGCUGCCUCACUCACAGCUUUCUCUGCAACGGGUGCCUCCACAAUUGUGAUAGAGAAUGACAUGCCCCAGCAUAAUGCCUCAACCCAAGUGUCAACCUGCCCUUGACAGAGAAGAGAACCCCAAAUGAAUCUCCCAAGCAACACAAGCUGACCC